This 253-nucleotide ribosomal RNA is filed under the name uncultured bacterium. Its description in RNAcentral is "partial 16S ribosomal RNA". It matches the Rfam family "Bacterial small subunit ribosomal RNA", at positions 524 to 776 of the family's 1533-position model. The record is from RNAcentral.
UACGUAGGGGGCAAGCGUUGUCCGGAUUUAUUGGGCGUAAAGCGCUCGCAGGUGGUUCGAUGCGUCGUGCGUGAAAGACCCCGGCUCAACUGGGGAGGGCCGUGCGAUACGGUCGAACUGGAGGCCAGUAGGGGGAUGCGGAAUUCCGGGUGUAGUGGUGGAAUGCGUAGAGAUCCGGAGGAACACCAGCGGCGAAGGCGGCAUCCUGGACUGGUCCUGACACUCAGGAGCGAAAGCGUGGGGAGCGAUCCGG